CUAAUUGGAUCGCAGAGUGCGA
RNAcentral lists this non-coding RNA (22 nucleotides) under Arabidopsis thaliana (thale cress). The record is from RNAcentral. Lineage: Eukaryota; Viridiplantae; Streptophyta; Magnoliopsida; Brassicales; Brassicaceae.